AGUGAACGCUGGCGGUAGGCCUAACGCAUGCAAGUCGAACGGCAGCACAGUAAGAGCUUGCUCUUACGGGUGGCGAGUGGCGGACGGGUGAGGAAUACAUCGGAAUCUACUUUUUCGUGGGGGAUAACGUAGGGAAACUUACGCUGAUACCGCAUACGACCUACGGGUGAAAGCAGGGGAUCUUCGGACCUUGCGCGAUUGAAUGAGCCGAUGUCGGAUUAGCUAGUUGGCGGGGUAAAGGCCCACCAAGGCGACGAUCCGUAGCUGGUCUGAGAGGAUGAUCGGCCACACUGGAACUGAGACACGGUCCAGACUCCUACGGGAGGCAGCAGUGGGGAAUAUUGGACAAUGGGCGCAAGCCUGAUCCAGCCAUACCGCGUGGGUGAAGAAGGCCUUCGGGUUGUAAAGCCCUUCUGUUGGGAAAGAAAAGCAGCAGGUUAAUCCCCCGCUGUUCUGACGGUACCCAAAGAAUAAGCACCGGCUAACUUCGUG
Molecule: ribosomal RNA, 492 nt
Filed under: uncultured bacterium
Lineage: Bacteria
Description: partial 16S ribosomal RNA
Rfam family: Bacterial small subunit ribosomal RNA
Source: RNAcentral